GUGGGGAAUAUUGGACAAUGGGCGCAAGCCUGAUCCAGCAAUGCCGCGUGGGUGAAGAAGGUCUUCGGAUCGUAAAGCCCUUUCGACAGGGACGAUGAUGACGGUACCUGUAGAAGAAGCCCCGGCUAACUUCGUGCCAGCAGCCGCGGUAAUACGAAGGGGGCUAGCGUUACUCGGAAUUACUGGGCGUAAAGGGCGCGUAGGCGGCUCUGUUAGUCAGGCGUGAAAUUCCUGGGCUUAACCUGGGGACUGCGCUUGAUACUGCAGGGCUUGAGGCCGAGAGAGGGUGGUGGAAUUCCCAGUGUAGAGGUGAAAUGCGUAGAUAUUGGGAAGAACACCGGUGGCGAAGGCGACCACCUGGCUCGGUUCUGACGCUGAGGCGCGACAGCGUGGGGAGCAAACAGGAUUAGAUACCCCUGUAGUCC
Molecule: ribosomal RNA, 425 nt
Filed under: uncultured bacterium
Lineage: Bacteria
Description: partial 16S ribosomal RNA
Rfam family: Bacterial small subunit ribosomal RNA
Source: RNAcentral